This 253-nucleotide ribosomal RNA is filed under the name uncultured bacterium. Its description in RNAcentral is "partial 16S ribosomal RNA". It matches the Rfam family "Bacterial small subunit ribosomal RNA", at positions 524 to 776 of the family's 1533-position model. The record is from RNAcentral.
UACGGGGGGGGCAAGCGUUGUUCGGAAUUACUGGGCGUAAAGGGCUCGUAGGUGGCCAACUAAGUCGGACGUGAAAUCCCUCAGCUUAACUGGGGAACUGCGUCCGAUACUGGAUGGCUUGAGUUUGGGAGAGGGAUGCGGAAUUCCAGGUGUAGCGGUGAAAUGCGUAGAUAUCUGGAGGAACACCGGUGGCGAAGGCGGCAUCCUGGACCGGGAUUGACACUGAGGCGCGAAAGCCAGGGGAGCAAACGGG